This 85-nucleotide transfer RNA is filed under the name Actinomycetota bacterium. Its description in RNAcentral is "tRNA-Leu". It matches the Rfam family "tRNA". Rfam says of the family: Transfer RNA (tRNA) molecules are approximately 80 nucleotides in length. Their secondary structure includes four short double-helical elements and three loops (D, anti-codon, and T loops). The record is from RNAcentral. Lineage: Bacteria; Bacillati; Actinomycetota.
GCGAGAGUGGCGGAAUCUGGCAGACGCGCUGGGUUUAGGUCCCAGUGUCCGCAAGGACGUGGGGGUUCGAGUCCCCCCUCUCGCA